This 250-nucleotide ribosomal RNA is filed under the name uncultured bacterium. Its description in RNAcentral is "partial 16S ribosomal RNA". It matches the Rfam family "Bacterial small subunit ribosomal RNA", at positions 524 to 773 of the family's 1533-position model. The record is from RNAcentral.
GACAGAGGUGGCAAGCGUUGUUCGGAUUCAUUGGGUGUAAAGGGUCCGUAGGUGGCCCGACAAGUCUGACGUGAAAUCCCAGAGCUCAACUCUGGAACUGCGUUGGAAACUGUCGGGCUUGAGUGCCGGAGAGGUUAGGGGAAUUCCAGGUGUAAGGGUGAAAUCUGUAGAUAUCUGGAGGAACACCAGUGGCGAAGGCGCCUAACUGGCCGGUUACUGACGCUGAGGGACGAAAGCAAGGGGAGCAAAC